GCCGGGAGUGGKUAAUUUGCSCGCCUGCUGCCUUCCUUGGAUGUGGUAGCCGUUUCUCARGCUCCCUCUCCGGAAUCGAACCCUGAUUCCCCGUUACCCGUUACAACCAUGGUAGGCGCARAACCUACCAUCGACAGUUGAUAAGGCAGACAUUUGAAAGAUGCGUCGCCGGUGCGAUGACCGUGCGAUCAGCGUAAAGUUAUUCARAGUCACCAAGUUGUACGAUAACGAGCGAACCCGCCACCGAUUGGUUUUGAUCUAAUAAAAGCACUCCUUCCGUCUCCGGUCGGAGCUCUGUUUGCAUGUAUUAGCUCUAGAAUUACCACAGUUAUCCAAGUAAUUGUGGGUACGAUCUAAGGAACCAUAACUGAUUUAAUGAGCCUUUCGCGGUUUCACCUUAAUUUGGCUUGUACUGAGACAUGCAUGGCUUAAUCUUUGAGACAAGCAUAUGACUACUGGCAGGAUCAAACCAGGUUG
This 477-nucleotide ribosomal RNA is filed under the name Trigonopterus sculptirostris. RNAcentral describes it as "partial 18S ribosomal RNA". The record is from RNAcentral. Lineage: Eukaryota; Metazoa; Arthropoda; Insecta; Coleoptera; Curculionidae.